UACAGAGGGGGCAAGCGUUAUUCGGAAUUAUUGGGCGUAAAGGGCGCGUAGGCGGCCUGGCAAGUGGAAGGUGAAAUCCCUCGGCUUAACCGAGGAACUGCCCUCCAAACUGCUUGGCUUGAGACCAGGAGAGGUGAGUGGAAUUCCCAGUGUAGCGGUGAAAUGCGUAGAUAUUCGGAGGAACACCAGUGGCGAAGGCGGCUCACUGGUCCAUUACUGACGCUGAGGUGCGAAAGCGUGGGGAGCAAACAGG
RNAcentral lists this ribosomal RNA (253 nucleotides) under uncultured bacterium. RNAcentral describes it as "partial 16S ribosomal RNA". It matches the Rfam family "Bacterial small subunit ribosomal RNA", at positions 524 to 776 of the family's 1533-position model. The record is from RNAcentral.